GGGGUGCGGGAGCUAUACAUGCAGUCGAGCGAAUGGAUUAAGAGCUUGCUCUUAUGAAGUUAGCGGCGGACGGGUGAGUAACACGUGGGUAACAUGCCCAUAAGACUGGGAUAACUCCGGGAAACCGGGGCUAAUACCGGAUAACAUUUUGAACUGCAUGGUUCGAAAUUGAAAGGCGGCUUCGGCUGUCACUUAUGGAUGGACCCGCGUCGCAUUAGCUAGUUGGUGAGGUAACGGCUCACCAAGGCAACGAUGCGUAGCCGACCUGAGAGGGUGAUCGGCCACACUGGGACUGAGACACGGCCCAGACUCAUACGGGAGGCAGCAGUAGGGAAUCUUCCGCAAUGGACGAAAGUCUGACGGAGCAACGCCGCGUGAGUGAUGAAGGCUUUCGGGUCGAAAAACUCUGUUGUUAGGGAAGAACAAGUGCUAGUUGAAUAAGCUGGCACCUUGACGGUACCUAACCAGAACGCCACGGCUAAAUACGUGCCAGGAGCCGAGUUAAUAAAUAAGGAGAACUCUCGAAUUAUGAACUCAGGGAAGUAACC
RNAcentral lists this ribosomal RNA (548 nucleotides) under Bacillus cereus. RNAcentral describes it as "bacterial SSU rRNA". It matches the Rfam family "Bacterial small subunit ribosomal RNA", at positions 35 to 539 of the family's 1533-position model. Lineage: Bacteria; Bacillati; Bacillota; Bacilli; Caryophanales; Bacillaceae. The record is from RNAcentral.